AGACAGCAGCAGCCGCGGUAAUACGUAGGUCCCGAGCGUUGUCCGGAUUUAUUGGGCGUAAAGCGAGCGCAGGCGGUUAGAUAAGUCUGAAGUUAAAGGCUGUGGCUUAACCAUAGUACGCUUUGGAAACUGUUUAACUUGAGUGCAGAAGGGGAGAGUGGAAUUCCAUGUGUAGCGGUGAAAUGCGUAGAUAUAUGGAGGAACACCGGUGGCGAAAGCGGCUCUCUGGUCUGUAACUGACGCUGAGGAGCGAAAGCGUGGGGAGCGAACAGGAUUAGAGACCCCUGUAGUCCCUGUCUCUUAUACA
RNAcentral lists this ribosomal RNA (307 nucleotides) under uncultured bacterium. RNAcentral describes it as "partial 16S ribosomal RNA". It matches the Rfam family "Bacterial small subunit ribosomal RNA", at positions 506 to 808 of the family's 1533-position model. The record is from RNAcentral.